CCUGCGGAGGGAUCAUUACCGAGUUUACAACUCCCAAACCCCUGUGAACAUACCUAUACGUUGCCUCGGCGGAUCAGCCCGCGCCCCGUAAAACGGGACGGCCCGCCCGAGGACCCUAAACUCUGUUUUUAGUGGAACUUCUGAGUAAAACAAACAAAUAAAUCAAAACUUUCAACAACGGAUCUCUUGGUUCUGGCAUCGAUGAAGAACGCAGCAAAAUGCGAUAAGUAAUGUGAAUUGCAGAAUUCAGUGAAUCAUCGAAUCUUUGAACGCACAUUGCGCCCGCCAGUAUUCUGGCGGGCAUGCCUGUUCGAGCGUCAUUUCAACCCUCAAGCUCAGCUUGGUGUUGGGACUCGCGGUAACCCGCGUUCCCCAAAUCGAUUGGCGGUCACGUCGAGCUUCCAUAGCGUAGUAAUCAUACACCUCGUUACUGGUAAUCGUCGCGGCCACGCCGUAAAACCCCAACUUCUGAAUGUUGACCUCGGAUCAGGUAGGAAUACCCGCUGAACUUAAGCAUAUCAA
Molecule: ribosomal RNA, 522 nt
Filed under: Fusarium chlamydosporum
Lineage: Eukaryota; Fungi; Ascomycota; Sordariomycetes; Hypocreales; Nectriaceae
Description: eukaryotic LSU rRNA
Rfam family: 5.8S ribosomal RNA (bases 167-320)
Source: RNAcentral